RNAcentral lists this ribosomal RNA (447 nucleotides) under uncultured bacterium. RNAcentral's name for it is "bacterial SSU rRNA". It matches the Rfam family "Bacterial small subunit ribosomal RNA", at positions 330 to 794 of the family's 1533-position model. The record is from RNAcentral.
ACCAGACUCCUACGGGAGGCAGCAGUGGGGAAUAUUGCACAAUGGGGGAAACCCUGAUGCAGCAACGCCGCGUGAGUGAAGAAGUCAUUCGUGAUGUAAAGCUCUAUCAGCAGGGAAGAAAAUGACGGUACCUGGGUAAGAAGCCCCGGCUAACUACGUGCCAGCAGCCGCGGUAAUACGUAGGGGGCAAGCGUUAUCCGGAUUUACUGGGUGUAAAGGGAGCGUAGACGGCCAGACAAGUCUGAAGUGAAAAUCCAGCGCUUAACGUUGGAAGUGCUUUGGAAACUGCCGGGCUAGAGUGGGCGAGAAGUGCGCGGAAUGCGUGGUGUAGCGGUGAAAUGCAUAGAUAUCACGCAGAACUCCGAUUGCGAAGGCAGCGCACCGGCGCCCUACUGACGCUCAGGCACGAAAGCGUGGGUAUCGAACAGGAUUAGAUACCCUUGUACA